RNAcentral lists this long non-coding RNA (1444 nucleotides) under Gallus gallus (chicken). RNAcentral describes it as "lncRNA (ENSGALG00010026603.1)". The record is from RNAcentral. Lineage: Eukaryota; Metazoa; Chordata; Aves; Galliformes; Phasianidae.
GAAAAAUAACCGAAUGUAACAAACGUAGCUCCAGUGAAGCCUUAGGAGGGGUGAAUUUCAACUGUGCAAUUGAGCUGGUGGUGUUUUAACCUCUAAUGAACUGCUGCACUUGGUUGGAAAUUUUGCUAAAAUAGGACCAUAGGACCUUAACUGACACUUAAAGUGCUGUCACAAAGGAUUGGAGUUACAGGACAGCAUUUUCACUUUCACUGUAGAUAAAUUUGAAUAAUCCAGCAUCAUGUAGGACAGUGGGAUGAGCUCCUUCCUGAAGAAGCAAGGUUUUACAUAGUUUUCUUUUCUAUGGUUCCUGACUCAAAACUGAUACAGCAAAUCCUGAUCUGCCCCCUGGGAAACACGGAAAAAUUUCACCACCAGCUUCACCCAAGACAAGAAUUCAUCAUAAAGAAAUUUCACAAUCAGAUCUGCAGCUGUUGUGCAUCCCCGUACAGGUAGAUCUCUUCACACUUUGAUCAGUUUAAUAUGGAGAGAGUAUUGUUGGUCUGCAUUUUCUGAACCUUAUUGAUAUUUGUGGUUUUACUCUUUGAGAUAGGAGAAUGUGGAAUCUUUUGACAAAAUGACAAGGAAAGAGAAAAUCAUGCAGCUUGAGUAUGUCUGUGCAUUGCUGCAUUGUUGGACUCGCUUUUUAAAAUUAGUUUUUCAGUUCUUCUCAAAAGUGCUGGAGUAAAAGAUGAAUGUCAGUAUUCAGCAGUCACAGGACAGAAGCGGUCCAGAGCCUGUGCCCGCUCCUUGCUGACAAGGCCUGUAACGGGAGCACCACGAUGGUUUUGUACCAAGAAUUUCACAGAAGGAAAGUAAGCUGUUCUGUGUUCUCAUUUAUUAGACAGAGAGAGAACUGAAGAGUAACCUUUAUGGAACUCACAUGGCACCUGAAUAAUUUGCAUUUAGAAAGGAUGUUCCUUUCAUGUUCAAUUGGUUUAUUGAAUCUGUGUUAGACUUCUGUAAAUGCUGCACAGCUUUUGCAUCUCCAGUACUUUUCCUAAAUGAAAGACUAACCUUUGGAGUCUGGCUUGGUAUAUUACAUUUAUGUUUAGUCUAAAAGAGGUAAUGAAAGUCAUUGAACUGAAUGGCACAAAUUCCCUUGGUCCUUGAGAAGCAGCUUUAACAACAGUCUCACUUGGAUGUUCAGAGUGACAGGAAUUAACAUCAUUCCUAUCCAUCGGAACAUACUUCUGCUUGAAACAACCCUCACAAAUUCAUGUUUCAGUAAUUCUGUAAGGGCAGACUGUAGUGCCAAAGGAGGAAAAACUGAGUACGUUUCUCAUUCCCAAGAGAAAUUAAAAAGGAGGCAAGUGCUUUGAGUGGUUAGCAAGUCUCUUCGUGCUGAUUAUAGUGGCCUGCCAUCAAGAACCUUGAAACAAAACUCAUGUUACUGAACAGAAAUAUUUUGAAAAUGAGUGUGCUAAGGAGCUAUGGGCUUGGUGUG